GUGAGGAGAUGGGGACCCUCUCGGACAGUUGCUAGGGGGGCCUUUCUACUUCCAGCAAGCUUCUGUGUAUAUACGCUGCCCUUGGGAACGGGGCUCUGCAUGCCAAGCGGACAGGCGUCCAGUGGUGGCUUCUCCGGGGGCCAUUCCCAGUGCUCCAUGGAGGCCCAGUCAGCUGAAAGAGAAAAGACCCUGCUUGAGUAUUCUGGGCUCCGUGCUGGCCCUGGGCAGAGCUGUGAGGAGGCCCGUCUGGCCCCGUCUGGACAAAGGACACCGCCUGUCUUCCCGCCCCCCGCCCUCCACAUCUUCAUCUUGCUGCCAAACGAAAUGCUGCAUCAUCUGAAGGAGUCUCCAGGAUACUCUGGGAACACAUUUUCCCUAAAACACCGAAAAUAGGCCUUUCUUUUCCCUCCCUGAUUUUACAAGCAAAAGAUUACCUUAGAAAAAUGUGGAAAAUACAGAGAAAUAUGAGAGAAAAUAAAAUACCAGUUUAACACA
Molecule: long non-coding RNA, 495 nt
Organism: Bubalus bubalis (water buffalo)
Lineage: Eukaryota; Metazoa; Chordata; Mammalia; Artiodactyla; Bovidae
Exons: 2
Source: RefSeq, a predicted model, not a curated record